This 157-nucleotide ribosomal RNA is filed under the name uncultured bacterium. RNAcentral's name for it is "partial 16S ribosomal RNA". It matches the Rfam family "Bacterial small subunit ribosomal RNA", at positions 355 to 509 of the family's 1533-position model. The record is from RNAcentral.
UGAGGAAUAUUGGUCAAUGGGCGAGAGCCUGAACCAGCCAAGUCGCGUGAGGGAAGACGGUCCUAUGGAUUGUAAACCUCUUUUGCCGGGGAGCAAAGAGCGGUACGUGUACCGCGCCGAGAGUACCCGGAGAAAAAGCAUCGGCUAACUCCGUGCC